Molecule: ribosomal RNA, 490 nt
Filed under: uncultured bacterium
Lineage: Bacteria
Description: partial 16S ribosomal RNA
Rfam family: Bacterial small subunit ribosomal RNA
Source: RNAcentral
AUUGAACGCUGGCGGCAGGCCUAACACAUGCAAGUCGAACGGUAACAGGAAGCAGCUUGCUGCUUUGCUGACGAGUGGCGGACGGGUGAGUAAUGUCUGGGAAACUGCCCGAUGGAGGGGGAUAACUACUGGAAACGGUAGCUAAUACCGCAUAACGUCGCAAGACCAAAGAGGGGGACCUUAGGGCCUCUUGCCAUCGGAUGUGCCCAGAUGGGAUUAGCUAGUAGGUGGGGUAACGGCUCACCUAGGCGACGAUCCCUAGCUGGUCUGAGAGGAUGACAGGCCACACUGGAACUGAGACACGGUCCAGACGCCUACGGGAGGCAGCAGUGGGGAAUAUUGCACAAUGGGCGCAAGCAUGAUGCAGCCAGGCCGCGUGUAUGAAGAAGGCCUUCGGGUUGUAAAGUACUUUCAGCGGGGAGGAAGGGAGUAAAGUUAAUACCUAUGCUCAUUGACGUUACCCGCAGAAGAAGCACCGGCUAACUCCGUG